UUGACCUCGGAUCAGGUAGGAAUACCCGCUGAACUUAAGCAUAUCAAUAAGCGGAGGAAAAGAAACCAACAGGGAUUGCCCUAGUAACGGCGAGUGAAGCGGCAACAGCUCAAAUUUGAAAUCUGGCUCUCGGGCCCGAGUUGUAAUUUGUAGAGGAUACUUUUGAUGCGGUGCCUUCCGAGUUCCCUGGAACGGGACGCCAUAGAGGGUGAGAGCCCCGUCUGGUUGGAUGCCAAAUCUCUGUAAAGUUCCUUCAACGAGUCGAGUAGUUUGGGAAUGCUGCUCUAAAUGGGAGGUAUAUGUCUU
Molecule: ribosomal RNA, 306 nt
Filed under: Fusarium sp. 14018
Lineage: Eukaryota; Fungi; Ascomycota; Sordariomycetes; Hypocreales; Nectriaceae
Description: eukaryotic LSU rRNA
Rfam family: Eukaryotic large subunit ribosomal RNA
Source: RNAcentral